This 77-nucleotide transfer RNA is filed under the name Nitritalea halalkaliphila LW7. Its description in RNAcentral is "tRNA-His". It matches the Rfam family "tRNA". Rfam says of the family: Transfer RNA (tRNA) molecules are approximately 80 nucleotides in length. Their secondary structure includes four short double-helical elements and three loops (D, anti-codon, and T loops). Lineage: Bacteria; Pseudomonadati; Bacteroidota; Cytophagia; Cytophagales; Cyclobacteriaceae. The record is from RNAcentral.
GUGAUUGUAGCUCAGUUGGUUAGAGCGCUGGUUUGUGGCACCAGAGGUCGCCGGUUCGAGUCCGGUCUUUCACCCGA